Molecule: long non-coding RNA, 1236 nt
Organism: Asparagus officinalis (garden asparagus)
Lineage: Eukaryota; Viridiplantae; Streptophyta; Magnoliopsida; Asparagales; Asparagaceae
Exons: 2
Source: RefSeq, a predicted model, not a curated record
CCUAUCAAUCCCAACCUCCCCAAAAAGCCAUUAACUUCUCCUCACAACCCCACUAACUUCCCCACCUCCCCAAAAAGCCAUUAACUUUCCCAAAACCCAGUUCACAUACUUCCCCAUUGACUUCCCGUACCUCGCCCACUCAUCAUCCCACUGACUUUAGUCAUUCUUUUCCACCUCUUGUCUAACCCAAAGCCAGGAAUGCUUCCAACACAAAGACAACACAUCUAAAGUUCCGACGAGAGAAGCGUCGUCCCGCAACUCCAACGAUCUUCGAUUCAGCCCCAUGGCUCCAAAACGCAGAAAAAAACAACGACGCAACAACCUCCAACUCACCGAUAGCAUCGCAACACCGGUCUACAAGGGGUAACCCUACGCCUCCUUCCAAUAACCCUGAUGGUAUUAUCUUUGACCCUGAUCUUAAUCAAGAGGUACCCCUACAACGACCGGCUCCACACACUUCGCCCGACGGUGCAUCCACAUCUAGUGCGUCCCCCAAUUGGAUCAACAGGUUCAACAUGUUGGAGCGGGGGCAUCAACACUUGAAAGAGUCCGUCCACUCAUUACGACAAGAUAUGGGCACACAAUUCCAUGCCAUUAACGCGCGUCUGCAUGGUUUUGACACUACACUAGGGACGAUGAACCAGUUGAUACAAGAUUUGCACCACUUUUCUCUACCUCAUCCUUAUGCACCUCCACCGCCACCUCAAUGAGUGGUGAGUCCCUCUUAUCCUCCUUUCAAUUACUCAAACACAUUGGGGACAAUGUGCAAUUCAAGCAUGGGGGAUUGGGUGUGUUGGGAUGAUGUUUCAUGUAUGCUUUAGUGUUUUUGAGUGCUUGUUUUCUGUGUUGGGAUUUUUCAUUAUGAUUAAAAAAAAAGAGUACCACUGUUUGAAAACUCUUCUAACACAUGCAUCAAUUAUUUCACAUGCCCCAUUGUUAAAAAAAAAUUUCUUUGUUUCAUGUUCAGUUGGUUAGGAUGUUAUCUGUUCGAGUUCCACUUUGUCGAUACUUAACUCUAAACAUUGGAGAGAUAGGAAUGGAUUUUGGCUCAACCCAUCUAAUUAAAACCUAAGCUUCUUUGGUGACUUGGAAUACUUUUUGGUUACUGGAGAAACACUCGGCCUUGUAAAAAAAAAGUCCUAAAGUCUGUUGCACCGAGUACCUAGCACCGCACCCUCAGAAGUAUGGCUGUCACGUCAGUAGGUGUUAAUUAUGACGGGAUUUUCAAAAAAAAAA